UAAUAUCCAAAUCUCAAAUAAACUGAUUUUAAAAAAGUUAAUCAAGGUAAGGAGUAUAAAAUAAGAAAUUAGUGGAACUGAGCCACGCUUAAAUAUCAAAUUAAAAUGAUGUCAUACAAAUCGGGAUAUAUAAAGUAACAUGGCAUGUUUGUCAAAAUUUAAAUUCAUUUGAUAGUUAAAUUUGAAGUAUAACGUGAUUCUCUUUUAAUCAAAUUAGAGUUUACCACUUAUAUAAUACAUAAAUUGAGUAACGUCUUAAAUUUCGUGCGCAGCUAUAUAUAUACAGAGAGAAAAGAAGUUGGAUAAAAAAUAACAUGUGCAACUCGGACUAUAUGAGCAUAUGCAUCCUCCACGUAUUGUAUUUACUGAUUUUUUUUAAUGGACGAAAAGAAAAGUAUCGAGUCACAGAUGACUCGCUUUGACCUUAACUAAGGUGGUCCUUCCUAGCAACAAAAUUAAUGGCUUUCAAAUGUUGGCAGGCAUGUUGAAACGGACUUUACUCCCCAACCAAGUAACAGCAAGACCCCAUAAGUAGGGAAUGUCUAUUCAAACUUUAGUGCGUUUGGUACGACGAAAAGUAUGAAAAAUAUGUGUUAUUCGAUAUUUAUUUUCUAGCAUAUUUUGGUUCAAAAAAUAUUUUCAAAUGAUCUAAUUGUGAAAGAAAAAGUUUAUAGUACUAAUUAACCUCUAAUGAUUGAUUGUUAUUGGGUGUGUGUGUUACACAAAAUCUCUAGAAUACUUACUUGGCACCAGGAUUGGCAACGUUCUUGAAGAUCUUUCUGGCACAAUUUUUAGCCUCCAAUUCACUGGUAAUCUCAGAUUCAGUGUUUCCAAAUUCAUCCACACUCUUAGAAAUAGUUGAUAAACCAAAGAACCUUACAUAAUUAGCCAAUCUCUUCACACUCCAUGCAGAUGACUUUCUUUGCAUACUCAGCUUCUUUAGCUUCAAUAAUUUCCUCGGUUCUUUCACUUCUACCACUUUUUCAUCAACUGGAGGGCCAGAAAAGGUGUGCAGGACAUAGUGAUGAAAAACACUUUCCUUCAUACGAUCAAAGUAAGUUGCAACAAAAAACGAAGAGGCUAAAACUUUGACCAAAAUGAUCUUAACGGGCCAAAUUGUUGCACCAAUAAGUAAGGCAACUAAAGCUUCACGUAAUUUUGUUAACAACUUGUUUUGUUUGUUGAGUUUUGUGUUGAACAUGAAAGUCAAAGCUAAAAGGACAAGACCUAACCAAACACAAUUUUGGAAGCUCUUUCUAAGACCAUAGACAAAAUAUAAGACCUUUUCACGAAGCAUGAAGUUUCUCUCGAUGAGAAAAACGAGGAAUCUAAUUACGCAACUUGAAACAAGGCGACCACUGAAUAUGACAAGGAUCACUAAGCACCAUUUCCACAAGUCAAGACCCCAUAAGGGAUUGUUCCUAAGAGGUGAAAUUGUGAGAGCACAUAUUAAACAAGAGGUUGUGAUUAAAAAAAAGCACCACUCAAACAAAAGUCUAAAAGGGAUUUUUGUCGUCUUCUUUCUACACUUUUCUUUAGUAAUCCCAAAUCCUUCAUCAUUUUCAUGUUCUUCAUCACUAUCUCCAUCCUUUUCACAGGGCUUGAAGGACUCGAAUUCGUCGUCUAAGUUGAAAGAUUUUUGCUUCUUUGGAACACUAUUGAACUCAAAGACUCGAGCUUUGGGCUUUGAGAAAGUGAGGCGGCGUAGUGUUUGAAAUUUUGUAGGAAUUCGGGUAAGUUUUGUUUCUGCCAUGUAAUUAGCAUCAUUGGUGCUCCUAGGUUGUGAAUUAUUGUUCUUGUGAUCUUCUUCAUCCAUGAACAAAAUCACAUGAUCAGAGGCUGGUUUCUCCAUCUUUUUUUUUUGAAGGUACGUACUUCACUUAGUUUCAUCAUCGUCCUAUAUCCCUUAUAUAGAAUGUGAAAGUGUCAUCAAACAUUACCGUGACGUUCCACUUUCCACAUAAAACUAAUUAGCCUAAAUCAUUAUAAUGUUUGGUUUGAAUUUUGAAGAAUUGCGUAUAGGUGUUCGUAACACGCAGCGAAAGACAACAACAAUCCUAGGCAGAUCUUUUUAUGUUUAAAAUUUAUUUACAAGUCAAUAGAUCAGAUCUAAGACGUACCUGGUGAAGAGAGUCUCGUUUCAAAAUUUCUUCGAUAGUGCGAAGACUCUAUGCGUAUCCACACCGAGACUGAUCCUUGCUGUCAACUAUUUGAUCAAUGAAACCCGCGAACAAAUUGAACAAAAUAUUGUGUUGAAAUUUUUCACAAAAAUCUCAACUCAAUGUUAGAAGAACAAGAAACACUUUUCUUGCAAUUGUAUUUUCUCUCUUGGCUUUGUAUUGCACUCUCACUUUCACAAAGUGGGUUUUCUUCUCAAGAAUCAGUUGGUAAAUUUUCUUCCAUCACCCUUUAUAUAGCAUCACCUAUAAACCAUUUUUCUAUUUGGUUGAGGUAAUGAUUUACUUAGGGUAAAAGUUU
Molecule: long non-coding RNA, 2478 nt
Filed under: Nicotiana tabacum (common tobacco)
Lineage: Eukaryota; Viridiplantae; Streptophyta; Magnoliopsida; Solanales; Solanaceae
Description: long non-coding RNA (NTAB_LNC004143)
Source: RNAcentral